CCUACGGGAGGCUGCAGUGGGGAAUAUUGGACAAUGGGCGAAAGCCUGAUCCAGCCAUGCCGCGUGUGUGAAGAAGGCCUUCGGGUUGUAAAGCACUUUCAGUGGGGAAGAAAGCCCUGGGGCUAAUACCCUCGAGGAAGGACAUCACCCACAGAAGAAGCACCGGCUAACUCCGUGCCAGCAGCCGCGGUAAUACGGAGGGUGCGAGCGUUAAUCGGAAUUACUGGGCGUAAAGCGCGCGUAGGCGGUCUGAUAAGCCGGUUGUGAAAGCCCCGGGCUCAACCUGGGAACGGCAUCCGGAACUGUCAGGCUAGAGUGCAGGAGAGGAAGGUAGAAUUCCCGGUGUAGCGGUGAAAUGCGUAGAGAUCGGGAGGAAUACCAGUGGCGAAGGCGGCCUUCUGGACUGACACUGACGCUGAGGUGCGAAAGCGUGGGUAGCAAACAGGAUUAGAUACCCUAGUAGUC
RNAcentral lists this ribosomal RNA (465 nucleotides) under Vreelandella stevensii. RNAcentral describes it as "partial 16S ribosomal RNA". It matches the Rfam family "Bacterial small subunit ribosomal RNA", at positions 338 to 795 of the family's 1533-position model. Lineage: Bacteria; Pseudomonadati; Pseudomonadota; Gammaproteobacteria; Oceanospirillales; Halomonadaceae. The record is from RNAcentral.